This 262-nucleotide ribosomal RNA is filed under the name uncultured archaeon. RNAcentral's name for it is "partial 16S ribosomal RNA". It matches the Rfam family "Archaeal small subunit ribosomal RNA", at positions 748 to 1009 of the family's 1478-position model. The record is from RNAcentral.
UAGCCGUAAACGAUACUCGCUAGGUGUCGGCCACGGUGCGACCGUUGUCGGUGCCGUAGGGAAGCCGUGAAGCGAGCCACCUGGGAAGUACGGCCGCAAGGCUGAAACUUAAAGGAAUUGGCGGGGGAGGCACAACAACGGGUGGAGCUUGCGGUUUAAUUGGAUUCAACGCCGGAAAUCUUACCGGGACCGACAGCAACAUGAAGGCCAGGCUGAAGACUUUGCCGGAUUAGCUGAGAGGAGGUGCAUGGCGUAGUCGUGU